CAACACUACAUUUAAAGAAGAAAGUGCGGAAGAAACAAGCCAUUAGGAACUAGAAUAAACAAUUUGGCAAGGUUGUGAAAUUGAUUGACCCAAGGAGUUCAGGUUGUUCUUGACUUAUACUUGGACGCGAGGAGCCAAUUUGAUGAUCGAACUAAGGCCAUUCAAUAAGUGUAAACCUUUUGUUAAACCAUCAGCAGAAUAACUAUUUUCAGAUCUACCUCCUAAUGAAGAACAUGUCCCCACUGUAGUUCUGGAUGUGAGUGAUAAUUUGUACACUCAGAUUGGAAGGUGAAAAUGUAUUUUCUACUUAGUUCAGAAUCUUA
Long non-coding RNA from Lolium rigidum, 323 nucleotides. RefSeq lists it as uncharacterized. The transcript has 2 exons. Lineage: Eukaryota; Viridiplantae; Streptophyta; Magnoliopsida; Poales; Poaceae. The record is from RefSeq and is a predicted model, not a curated record.